CGAUUCACACCGUAAAUCGUUAAAAAGGUUUCUGGUCAAUUCGACACGUCUCCACCUACUCGCCGAACAAUUCUCGUUUAAAUAUGUUUUAUGUCGAUUUAUUAUUUUUUUCUAAUAAAUAUUGUAUGUCU
Long non-coding RNA from Caenorhabditis elegans, 131 nucleotides. Ensembl annotates it as ncRNA. Its record names the gene linc-32. The record is from Ensembl. NCBI's taxonomy places the organism in Eukaryota, Metazoa, Nematoda, Chromadorea, Rhabditida, Rhabditidae.